UGUAGCGUUAUUGUAAGACGGGCAUUACAUUUAACUCAACCAAACAAUUGAAAUCUGUGACAUAUCAAUGUCAUUUCGAACAUCGAUCGACCGAGAUUGUACUUAAGUUUAGUAGCAAAUGUAUGAACUCAUUCUAAACUCUAAUCAAUAUGUAAACCGACCCUAAGGCAAGAAAAAAUAAAUUCUUGAUUAACUCCGAAAUGGAGUUAAUUAGAAUACCGGUGUCUUUGGGAAAGUUACUUGAUUUAAGCUCAGGAAUACACCCUUGAAAUUAA
Molecule: long non-coding RNA, 275 nt
Organism: Cydia fagiglandana
Lineage: Eukaryota; Metazoa; Arthropoda; Insecta; Lepidoptera; Tortricidae
Exons: 2
Source: RefSeq, a predicted model, not a curated record